RNAcentral lists this long non-coding RNA (239 nucleotides) under Hordeum vulgare. RNAcentral's name for it is "long non-coding RNA (HVUL_LNC021136)". The record is from RNAcentral. Lineage: Eukaryota; Viridiplantae; Streptophyta; Magnoliopsida; Poales; Poaceae.
AAAAUCAAACCGGUGCGCAUCCCUUUCCCUCCCAGGCGAACGCCGACUCGCACAGAUCGGCCGGCCAAACGACGAGUUCCCCAGCGGCAGGCCGACGCGGUGAAUUCCCCAUCGAUGGAUGCGGUGGUCUCGUUCGAGGCGCCACGACGGGCUACUCUGAGGCGGCGAGGCGACAUCCUUCGCGUUGGAUGCGUCAUGGCUAGCUCCUCCGAUGCGGGGAGGCAGUCAGCAUCUUCACG